UCGAUUCCUUAAGAACGAUUCUAAGGGUGGAAAGCUAGUGAAUUGUGACGACUUUUUAGAAAUAAAUAAAAUUGUGAGAAGAAAACAGAGUGAUCAAUAUUCCGAAAAAAAACCAGUGACCAAGCCGGGGGGCCCGCUACAAGUGGUGACAGCGGAAAAGCGUUUCUUCAAAACGCAGGCCGCCAGAAAGAUAGACUGAGUGAAAAAAAUGUGAAUCUUGCAGUAGAAGAAAAUAGGUGAGCAUAAGAAAGUGUAUCCAAAACUGAAGAACACCCCACAAAGUGAACAUAUAAUUGUUGCACGAAAAGCCAUUACAAAAAAAAAAAGAAGAAGCACCAGUGCGAAUCAUCUACUUGAGAAGAACUCUUGAAUCGUGAGCAGUGUGAAGCUGAUCGCUUUUCCGCUACAAACAUUUCUGACUGAAAAAAAGGGAAAGAGCAACGAAAACUGACUGAAAAGUGGAGAUAAAGUGAAAAUUAACUGGAUAAAGAGACUCAAAAAAAAAAAUCGUCAGGAAAGUGAAAAUAACAAAAAUCACUUCGUGUACUUGUUGAUUUCAGUGUAGAGAAGAAAAUUGAAGAUCCCAGACCCAACUGAGUACUACUGACGAACUUUCAGUUAUUGUGUUUAACGCCAGUAUCAGAACAAAUAAGAUCCUAAAUGCAAAUCAUUCACACGAAUAAAACUCUUAAACCGCGGUCAGUUAGAACGUGAAGAAAAAAAAAAGUGCCCCUAACUGUGUUAUAACUUGAUCAUCAAUUGAUCAUCAAGAAGCAAAUAGCUUCACCGGAACCAGGAGUAAGAAUCAACUAGGAUGGCGAAAAUCAACUGGAAAAUAUUAAUAUUCAUCCAACUGGCGUGGUUCGGGAGCGGAGAAUUCGUCCUAAAAAAAAUUAGAAGAAGGACUCAUCAGAAAGGGAACGUACUACGUUAAGAUCCUGCCUGCAACCUCAAAAGAAAGGGGGGAGGUCACCAAGCGAGAAAGAACAAACCUUACAGAUGGAGACGGAUAACGGAUCAGCACAGAAAGAAGGUAUCCUAGAUAUAAGAAAAUGAAAAAUUUUACAACUUGAGAAAUAAAAAAAAAAAUUAAUAAAUCAAAACUUGAACUGCAAAAACAAAACAAACUAAAAACAAAUUGACUUAAAGUUGAAAGUUUCACGAAAUUUUAAGAAAAUGAUUUAUUUUACUUCGUCAAACAAAUAAUGCUAGAAAAACACUAUUCUUUGACAUAUUUAAAGUUGUAUAUAUUACACGUAGAAGGUAUGAAAGAUAAUGUAUAAAUAUUGUAAGCUCAACCGAAAACAAAAACAAAAAGGAAAAAGAGACCAACAAAAUCCACAAAAGAUAUUAAAAUCCUUUAAAACUGAGCAAAACGAAAAGAUGUGAGAUUUCCAAAAAAAAAACACAACAAAUAAAUAAUAGAAAAAAAAUAUAUAUAUAUUGGGACUCACCAAACUGUAGAUAGUAGGAUAGUAGAUAUGAAUAGUUCUACCAUAUAGUAGGAAUAAAAUACAAUAGAAUAAUAUAGAAUAGGAAAAUAGGUCAUAGGCAGCAGUAGUCCUUUGGAGUGUACACUGUUCCACCGAAGGAGAGUGAAAGUAAUCAUCGGGAGCGCCAAAGAAGGAAGACAGUGGAACAAAGAACGUGUAAUGGUUGACAUCUAGAAUUCGUACAAAUCAACACCCGUCGCGUCUUGAUCGAAUAACCAUUCUUAUGUUGAGGUAGAUGAUGUAAAAGGGAGGAAUGAUGACGUAAACAUAGCACGAAAUGGAGAUGUGACAAGCUGGAGCUGAAUAAUAGAUGAUUAUCCAAGAUAACGGUUAUCCAAGAUAACGAUUAUCCAAGGUAACAAAGAAAAAAAAAUGACAUAUUAAUGUCUUAAGUAAACAAUUUUACUUUGAACUUGGUCAGAAAAGCCAAUAUGAUAUAACGGACAAAUCGAACAUAGCUUAGACAAGAAAGGCCAUUGG
RNAcentral lists this long non-coding RNA (1973 nucleotides) under Aedes aegypti (yellow fever mosquito). RNAcentral describes it as "lncRNA AAEL020471". The record is from RNAcentral. Lineage: Eukaryota; Metazoa; Arthropoda; Insecta; Diptera; Culicidae.